UGUUCGGAACCCGAGCAGUGUAAGGUGAUGAGGACUCCCAAGGGUUGGGCUGAGAGGUGCUCCCGCCCCGCCCCUCCCCGCCCGCUGAGACACAAGGUGCUUUCGCUAGAGGCCUCGGCAUCCAGUCGGCUUUCUCCCGGUGGAAUGAGGGCAGAAAUGGAGUCUAAACAGUGGUUCAAAGGCUUCGAGAUUCCUUGGUCUAACAAUUUCUCCUCAAAUUGUAGAAAUAACAACACUGAAUAACCAUCUUUUA
Molecule: long non-coding RNA, 253 nt
Organism: Bubalus bubalis (water buffalo)
Lineage: Eukaryota; Metazoa; Chordata; Mammalia; Artiodactyla; Bovidae
Exons: 2
Source: RefSeq, a predicted model, not a curated record